RNAcentral lists this ribosomal RNA (253 nucleotides) under uncultured bacterium. RNAcentral describes it as "partial 16S ribosomal RNA". It matches the Rfam family "Bacterial small subunit ribosomal RNA", at positions 524 to 776 of the family's 1533-position model. The record is from RNAcentral.
UACAGAGGGUGCAAGCGUUGUUCGGAAUUAUUGGGCGUAAAGGGCGCGUAGGCGGUGCCACAAGUCACCUGUGAAAUCUCCGGGCUUAACUCGGAGCCUGCAGGCGAAACUGUGGUGCUGGAGUGUGGGAGAGGUGCGUGGAAUUCCCGGUGUAGCGGUGAAAUGCGCAGAUAUCAGGAGGAACACCAAUAGCGAAGGCAGCUCGCUGGGACGUUACUGACACUGAGGCGCGAAAGCGUGGGGAGCUAACAGG